GGGGCGUUAGCGCAGUUGGUAGCGCGCUUCAAUGGCAUUGAAGAGGUCACGAGUUCGAAUCUCGUACGCUCCA
RNAcentral lists this transfer RNA (73 nucleotides) under Pseudomonadota bacterium. RNAcentral describes it as "tRNA-Ala". It matches the Rfam family "tRNA". Rfam says of the family: Transfer RNA (tRNA) molecules are approximately 80 nucleotides in length. Their secondary structure includes four short double-helical elements and three loops (D, anti-codon, and T loops). RNAcentral also lists the same sequence under 6 other names. The record is from RNAcentral. Lineage: Bacteria; Pseudomonadati; Pseudomonadota.